RNAcentral lists this transfer RNA (73 nucleotides) under Treponema sp. RNAcentral describes it as "tRNA-Met". It matches the Rfam family "tRNA". From Rfam's summary of the family: Transfer RNA (tRNA) molecules are approximately 80 nucleotides in length. RNAcentral also lists the same sequence under 2 other names. Lineage: Bacteria; Pseudomonadati; Spirochaetota; Spirochaetia; Treponematales; Treponemataceae. The record is from RNAcentral.
CGCUGGGUAGAGCAGUUGGCAGCUCGUCGGGCUCAUAACCCGGAGGCCGUAGGUUCGAGUCCUACCCCAGCUA